Molecule: ribosomal RNA, 468 nt
Filed under: uncultured bacterium
Lineage: Bacteria
Description: bacterial SSU rRNA
Rfam family: Bacterial small subunit ribosomal RNA
Source: RNAcentral
UCCAGACUCCUACGGGAGGCAGCAGUGAGGAAUAUUGGUCAAUGGGCUUACGCCUGAACCAGCCAAGUCGCGUGAGGGAAGGCUGCCCUAUGGGUUGUAAACCUCUUUUGUCAGGGAGCAAUUGGGUCCACGCGUGGGCUUAGCGAGAGUACCUGAAGAAAAAGCAUCGGCUAACUCCGUGCCAGCAGCCGCGGUAAUACGGAGGAUGCGAGCGUUAUCCGGAUUUAUUGGGUCUAAAGGGUGCGUAGGCGGAAUAUCAAGUCAGCGGUAAAAUCGCGGGGCUCAACCUCGCUCCGCCGUUGAAACUGGCGUUCUUGAGUGGGCGAGAAGUAUGCGGAAUGCGUGGUGUGGCGGUGAAAUGCAUAGAUAUCACGCAGAACUCCGAUUGCGAAGGCAGCAUACCGGCGCCCAACUGACGCUGAAGCACGAAAGCGUGGGUAUCGAACAGGAUUAGAUACCCUCGUACGA